RNAcentral lists this ribosomal RNA (460 nucleotides) under uncultured bacterium. Its description in RNAcentral is "partial 16S ribosomal RNA". It matches the Rfam family "Bacterial small subunit ribosomal RNA", at positions 338 to 795 of the family's 1533-position model. The record is from RNAcentral.
CCUACGGGUGGCAUCAGUGAGGAAUAUUGGUCAAUGGGCUUACGCCUGAACCAGCUAAGUCGCGUGAGGGAAGACUGCCCUAUGGGUUGUAAACUUCUUUUAUAUGGGAAUAAAAUGUUCCACGUGUGGGAUUUUGUAUGUACCAUAUGAAUAAGGAUCGGCUAACUCCGUGCCAGCAGCCGCGGUAAUACGGAGGAUCCGAGCGUUAUCCGGAUUUAUUGGGUUUAAAGGGAGCGUAGGUGGAUUGUUAAGUCAGUUGUGAAAGUUUGCGGCUCAACCGUAAAAUUGCAGUUGAAACUGGCAGUCUUGAGUACAGUAGAGGUAGGCGGAAUUCGUGGUGUAGCGGUGAAAUGCUUAGAUAUCACGAAGAACUCCGAUUGCGAAGGCAGCUCACUGGACUGCAACUGACACUGAGGCUCGAAAGUGUGGGUAGCAAACAGGAUUAGAUACCCGGGUAGUC